AGUUGAAGACAUUUAAACAAUCUAGCUAAUAGCUCAACUAUUAGCUAUUUUUAGCAAAUUAGCUAAUAGUUAGCUAGAUGUUUGUUAUCUAGUUAAUUGUACUAGCAAUUUUUGUAGGCAAUAAAUAUUAGCUACAGUGCAUUCAAACACCCUCUUAGCAUGAUUGACUUAUUAUCUGUUAAUACUUGCAGAUGUUUACCUUUUUUUUCUUUUCUUUUAAUUGGUAUGGUUGUUUAGACUUUGGAGACUACUUCGUAAUUCUCUGAACACGACUCUUUUUGCCCCCCUUUUUGACAUGAGGCACGUUUACGCAGUGGUUUGCAGGUGCCAGCCUCAUCAUUCUUGGCGUCUUCAUCCUCAGCAAGUCCAGCAUCGAGGAGAAACAGAACACGGAUUAGGUGGAAAAGUUUUGACCGCUAGUGUUAGCUGUAACAUAUACGUACUCCGCAUAAGCUGAGCCAUGGGAUGUUUUGUCCGUCCAUGUAGCCGAAUCAGAGCAUGACUGUCAUUCGGCUAAUACAAUGUAGUGUAGCAAACAUGUUGUGCGAGUUGUCACGCCAGGACAUUUGACAUUUCCCAUGGUGCUACUGGUACAUCGAGAAUCAUCGCUGUAAUUGUAUGUAUGUGGUGAAUUGAUUUCAUUUAUUUUAUUAUAUUUUUAUUCAAGCUGUGGCAAUAUC
Molecule: long non-coding RNA, 680 nt
Filed under: Zea mays
Lineage: Eukaryota; Viridiplantae; Streptophyta; Magnoliopsida; Poales; Poaceae
Description: drought-responsive long non-coding RNA
Source: RNAcentral